This is a non-coding RNA of Ciona intestinalis (vase tunicate), 297 nucleotides long. The record is from RefSeq and is a predicted model, not a curated record. Lineage: Eukaryota; Metazoa; Chordata; Ascidiacea; Phlebobranchia; Cionidae.
UAUACGAAGUCAAUAAAUUAGUAGAAAGGAAAUGCGAUGAAAAUGUUGGAAAGAGAGGUUUUGGAAAAGAAAUUCUUCAAUCCGUCCAGUUAUGCAUGGUGAAACAUUGAACUUACAUCGGAUACAAAAUAUAUGCAUAUUAAAAAUUACAGUGCCUGUCGGUGCAAACUGAAAACUAGCGUUCAUUUUAUUCCGUUGUGAACUUAACACAUCAUGUUCUGUGCCAUGUAUAUUUCAACUCCUGCAAUCUUGCUGUUUAAGCUACAUUUCAUUAAAUAAACAUUUUUAUUCUGUAAA